CUAAAAUGAUGAACCUUUGUUAUUGCAUUUUUCUGGCAUCUCUAAUGUUAGGGUGAGAAGUUUAAGUACUAUCCACUCGAUGAAUACAAUUUUUGACUACAUCUCUGAAA
Molecule: small nucleolar RNA, 110 nt
Rfam family: Small nucleolar RNA snR48
About the family: snR48 is a member of the C/D class of snoRNA which contain the C (UGAUGA) and D (CUGA) box motifs.